GGCGCAAGCCUGAUCCAGCAAUGCCGCGUGCAGGAUGAAGGCCUUCGGGUUGUAAACUGCUUUUGUACGGAACGAAAAGCCCUGGGUUAAUACCCUGGGGUCAUGACGGUACCGUAAGAAUAAGCACCGGCUAACUACGUGCCAGCAGCCGCGGUAAUAAUCUCUAGAGG
Molecule: ribosomal RNA, 170 nt
Filed under: uncultured Enterobacter sp.
Lineage: Bacteria; Pseudomonadati; Pseudomonadota; Gammaproteobacteria; Enterobacterales; Enterobacteriaceae
Description: partial 16S ribosomal RNA
Rfam family: Bacterial small subunit ribosomal RNA
Source: RNAcentral